This 468-nucleotide ribosomal RNA is filed under the name uncultured bacterium. RNAcentral describes it as "partial 16S ribosomal RNA". It matches the Rfam family "Bacterial small subunit ribosomal RNA", at positions 28 to 507 of the family's 1533-position model. The record is from RNAcentral.
GAUGAACGCUGGCGGCGUGCUUAACACAUGCAAGUCGAACGGUGAAGGCGGAGCUUGCUCUGCUGGAUCAGUGGCGAACGGGUGAGUAACGCGUGAGCAAUCUGCCCCUGACUCUGGGAUAAGCGCUGGAAACGGCGUCUAAUACUGGAUACGAGCUGCGAAGGCAUCUUCAGCAGCUGGAAAGAAUUUCGGUCAGGGAUGAGCUCGCGGCCUAUCAGCUUGUUGGUGAGGUAAUGGCUCACCAAGGCGUCGACGGGUAGCCGGCCUGGGAGGGUGACCGGCCACACUGGGACUGAGACACGGCCCAGACUCCUACGGGAGGCAGCAGUGGGGAAUAUUGCACAAUGGGCGAAAGCCUGAUGCAGCAACGCCGCGUGAGGGACGACGGCCUUCGGGUUGUAAACCUCUUUUAGCAGGGAAGAAGCGAAAGUGACGGUACCUGCAGAAAAAGCGCCGGCUAACUACGUG